GUAGCUGCCUUGCUGGGAUUUGGCCCACAUAAGUCUGAACUCAUACUUUGGUUUUGGUUUUCUUUAUUGUAGCUGACUGGGAGGCUAACAGGCCAUCACAGAGCCCUCCGAGGCAGACUCAUUUCAGGUGCAGCGUGGAUUCCCCUCACCAAUCAUCCAAAAGAUAAGUCGGGGGCCAUGGCCUGGCGAUGGGAGUGUAGCAGGUUGGGAGUUCUUGGGGCAGAGUUAAAAACCAGCAGAGGGAAAAGCAUUCUUCUCCAAGGGCCUGUUAGGACAGCUAAAGGGAGAGGCUCUUCUUUUGAUGGCAGCUUUCAGGCGGGCAGUGCAGAACAGCUCCGGUCUGUGUCCUGUUGUCUGGUGUGCUGUGUUCCCUAGUGUGUCUUUGGGGUCCCUUUUGCCCUCUUCCCUCGAUGCCCUCACCACAAGCAUGAUGUGUUGUGUUUGGUGUCCCCCUGUUUGUCACGUUCUGUGUCACGGGUGUCUGCAGGUAUUUGUGCCGGAGCUGUUCUGCCCUGCUGCAUGGCGUGCUUCAGUAGGACAAACCCUGGGGAGUUGAAAUUUGUAAUGUGGGCUGUACUUGGGCUCUAGGUGCUAUUCCUAGGUUUACAUAAGGUGUUUCCAGCUUGAAAGUUAAAGUUAUUGUGGAGGUGUGUGACAUAUGUUCUAACUUUCUUUCAGGUGUGGAUGCAUUGCAUCCAUGGCAGAGGGUCAGGGUUAGGAGGUGCUGGGCAUUCCUAGGAGCAUAGUGAGUAGCAGAGUGGUGGGGUUUUGGCCGAUGCGGUGCCAAGGUCAGGCACUGAUGUUUGGUUCUCUUUAAUCUAGCUGUCUGAGGGACACCAGCCCGGUGCCAGCAGGACCUUCCCAGGUGACGAGGUGGCCUUUCUUUGCACCUGACACAGGCAUCCCCUGAUGUCUGAGAGAUAAGCAGAGGGCUGCAACCCUCAGAGGGGAUGAACGUGGGGUGCUUUUUCAGGACUCCCUGAGGUGGGGGUCUGAGUUGGCUCUGGCAAUGAGGUUAGCCAAGAUGUUGCCCCUUAGGCCCCAUAAAAGCAAAGUCUCCCUUUUGGUCACAGUGCUGAGGUGCGCAGCAUGGCAGAGCAGUCCCGGUGUGUCUCGUGUCACUUGUCUUUUGUGUAUUGUGUGUUGCCUGGAUAUCUCAUGUCUCUUAUCUUAGCCCUGUGAGGGGCCUCUCAGAAACCUUUCCUAGCAUCCGUGAUCUCAGCGUUCCUCGCCCUGGCACCCAUGCCAUAGAUCUUUUGACUUGGGAGCUCACACAGGCAGCAGAAAUGCAUCUCUCUUUAGAAGCGUCCAGUCAGAUGUCUUGUCAUGUCUUGUUCUGAGCUGUACGGACAACCGUGCUGCGCAAUGAUCCAUUAUAGCAGAGUAGGACUUGUAAGGAUGUGAGGUUAGGGAGAGGAUUCUGACUGUAGGAUUCUCGGGCAUCCAUCUUUGCAGUUUUUGGAAUAAAUCAUUCUGUUUGCAUCUUCUUCCUCCAGGGUUCUCUGAGCCUCAUCAGCUCGCCAUCAGCUUCAACUCUUCUUCUUUUGCAUUCUCUCAGUCCUUGCAGCCAUUUUCCUUGCUAAGAGAUUUCCGUUCCUGUUGUGUCCCCAGUGUUUGUCACGUCUUGUCUGUCCUGUGUCACGGGUGUCUGCACACAUUUGUGCUGGAGCUGCUGUUCUGCCCUGCUGCAUAUCCUGGUGCAAUAUGAGAAGUCUCAGGGACUUGGAAUUUGUAAUGUGUAGUUGGAUUCUAGAUGGGAUUUGUAGAUGGACACAGGAUACGUGGAGCCCAUAAGUUAUCCUGCAGCCCUUUCACUUUCAUCCUAACUUUCUUUUAGUUGCAGAAGGAUAAAUCCAGGGCAGAGCCCCCCAUUCUGGGUGAGGGGAUUCCCCUGUGAAGGUCAGUCACUGUUUGUCUCUGCAGAGGAAGCAUAAAUUGUGGCUGCUGCAGCUCUGCUCUUUGUCUUUAUUUUUAGGAAGUCAAGGCAGAGAGCAGCUGUCAAGGCUGAGUGGGCAAGAUGGACUGCUUGCCAUCUAUCCUAGCCCAGCAUGCCCAUGCCAGGUGCUGUCGCUGCCCUAGGCAUGCCGGGGAAGAGAGGAGGGCAGGUAUCUUCCGGGCGGCCUCUGGAGUCAAAUCAAGACUUGAGGUACCCUGGGCAGGCUUGUAGCCACAGCUUGGAAGCGGCAGCACCGAAGCGCACACAUUGAGAACGUCUCAACGUCCACGUCCGACCGAGGAUGGAUUUUGUCUGCUUGUCUUCCAAAAGCUAAGUGUCGGGGCCAGUGGUUGGGAGAAGGGGAAAAGCCUUUACUAUCACAGGAGGCAAUCUGAUGUCAGCUUAGCAGAGAGGUCUGUAGUGGGACAGGCUCCCUGGAAGUAAAGGGAGAGGGUUUCUCCUCAGCCUCACCAGAGCCUUUGCCGGGCAGGGCAAUUCCUACCCAUCUCCACAUUCUCGUGAACUUUGUGUCAUCAGCCUUCUUCGACUUGACGUCGUCACGGCUCUUUCCCCCGUGGAGCUCGCCUUCAGGUCCGGAGCUGUAGCUGCAGUCACCUGGCAGUCCGCUUCCUUCUCUAGGCUUGCUGAGCCUCUCGAGCAUCCUCCUAACUGCUUUGGCCCUAACUUCCUUUAAUGAGUUGCAUUUCAUCAUCACGUGCUGUUGUCAUAGGGCUUCCUUUCCCUUGGCCUCAUUGGCCUCUGGCUCGUCUUGUGCUAGGACUCUCGGGUCCCUAAAGGGAAAGUGCCAAGCAGUUGCAACUUGUCUCUGUGUUAUGUCAUCUGUGUCUAUGUUAUGGUGUGUGUGUCCAUUGUCUUCCACGGCAUAGGCCUUUGUUACAUCUCAAUGCUUUAUCGGCUCUCUUCUGUGCCAUGUUCUACUCACAUUCCUUGCCGGAUAUCCCUUAUUCCAGCAUCUUUACAUUUUUACUCUUUGAGACAGGAAUGUCUCACAGGGACAAGAUGUUCUCAUCCAUCUUCCUUCUCACUAUCAGCUUUGGUAGUGCUUUUUUUUCUUGGACUUCUAGAGGGAGCAUCUUACACCCUCCUCACGUGACUGCAGUAGUUCUAUAGGUUCCAUCUUCUCAAAGGGUACAGGGCUCAAUAAGUAAUCUUCCAGAGAGUUUUCUUAAGUCGUGGUUUAUAUUGUAUGUUCCUAUGUUGGCUUAUAUUGUAUGUACUUACAUACAGUAUAAGUACGUACAGUAUAAGCCAGCAUAGGUACAUGCAAUGUAAGUGCAUUGCCUUAUAUUGUCUGUACUUACACUGCAUGUAAGCAUGUCGCCUUAUAUUGUGUGUACUUACACUCUGUGUACACUUGCACUGUAUGCGUCAGCUUACAUUGUGUGUAGACUGUACCACUUAUGAUCGGAGCUGCCCUGCCCUGGCACAUAGUCACAGUUAGGUAGAACAGUUAUAACAACUUUACUGUUCAUCUGUCUUUUGUGGGAUUUUGGGUAGAAAAUUCAUCAGUCCAGAGUGGGGACAAGUCCUAGCUGUCAGAUAGCCACUUGUUGACCCUUCCUGUUGUCUCACAGGUCCCCGAGGCUGCUGAUUUCCCCAGGAUCUGCCAUUUACCUCAAGGAGCGGCAGCCAGAAGAUGUGUCAAAGCACCUUCUUCAGCAUCUCAGGGAAGGGCCACAGUGAGCGUGUUUUGCAACUCAUUGUUAAAUUGAGAAUAAAAAAUCCCCAGCUGCCUUCCA
Long non-coding RNA from Melospiza melodia melodia, 3696 nucleotides. RefSeq lists it as uncharacterized. The record is from RefSeq and is a predicted model, not a curated record. The transcript is spliced from 6 exons. Lineage: Eukaryota; Metazoa; Chordata; Aves; Passeriformes; Passerellidae.